AGUGAACGCUGGCGGUAGGCCUGACACAUGCAAGUCGAACGGCAGCACAGGAGAGCUUGCUCUCUGGGAGGCGAGUGGCGGACGGGUGAGGAAUACAUAGGAAUCUACUCUGUCGUGGGGGAUAACGUAGGGAAACUUACGCUAAUACCGCAUACGACCUACGGGUGAAAGCAGGGGACCUUCGGGCCUUGCGCGAUUGAAUGAGCCCAUGUCGGAUUAGCUAGUUGGCGGGGUAAAGGCCCACCAAGGCGACGAUCCGUAGCUGGUCUGAGAGGAUGAUCAGCCACACUGGAACUGAGACACGGUCCAGACUCCUACGGGAGGCAGCAGUGGGGAAUAUUGGACAAUGGGCGCAAGCCUGAUCCAGCCAUACCGCGUGGGUGAAGAAGGCCUUCGGGUUGUAAAGCCCUUUUGUUGGGAAAGAAAUCCAGCUGGCUAAUACCCGGUUGGGAUGACGGUACCCAAAGAAUAAGCACCGGCUAACUUCGUGCCAGCCGCCGCGGUAA
Molecule: ribosomal RNA, 506 nt
Filed under: uncultured bacterium
Lineage: Bacteria
Description: partial 16S ribosomal RNA
Rfam family: Bacterial small subunit ribosomal RNA
Source: RNAcentral